RNAcentral lists this ribosomal RNA (460 nucleotides) under uncultured bacterium. RNAcentral describes it as "partial 16S ribosomal RNA". It matches the Rfam family "Bacterial small subunit ribosomal RNA", at positions 338 to 795 of the family's 1533-position model. The record is from RNAcentral.
CCUACGGGUGGCAGCAGUGAGGAAUAUUGGUCAAUGGGCGCGAGCCUGAACCAGCUAAGUAGCGUGAAGGAUGACUGCCCUACGGGUUGUAAACUUCUUUUAUCAAGGAAUAAAGUGAGGCACGUGUGCCUUUUUGUGUGUACUUUAUGAAUAAGGAUAGGCUAACUCCGUGCCAGCAGCCGCGGUAAUACGGAGGAACCGAGCGUUAUCCGGAUUGAUUGGGUUUAAAGGGAGCGUAGAUGGCUUGUUAAGUCAGUUGUGAAAUUUUGCGGCUCAACCGUAAAAUUGCAAUUGAUACUGGCAGCCUUGAGUACAGUUGAGGUAGGCGGAAUUCGUGGUGUAGCGGUGAAAUGCUUAGAUAUCACGAAGAACUCCGAUUGCGAAGGCAGCUUACUAAACUGCCACUGACAUUGAUGCUCGAAAGUGUGGGUAUCAAACAGGAUUAGAUACCCUAGUAGUC